RNAcentral lists this long non-coding RNA (258 nucleotides) under Elaeis guineensis (African oil palm). Its description in RNAcentral is "long non-coding RNA (EGUI_LNC068389)". The record is from RNAcentral. Lineage: Eukaryota; Viridiplantae; Streptophyta; Magnoliopsida; Arecales; Arecaceae.
UCCUUGAAACAAUCAUGCCUAGAAACCCGCAUGCUAUGAUGCCCUCUCCAAAAGUGGAGGUGAGCGCAUGUCUCCCAUAAAUACACAUAUCCAAUCGUUUGCUUAAGUUGUGGCCUUCCAAGGUGUAACCAUAGUGGCGCAUGACAUUAAGACUCCUUACAUCCUCUGAUGCUUCAAUCAAGGCACCCAAAUUGAGCUAAUGAUGGUUUGAGGGUAUGCCUCAGCAUAGUCCCAUUCUGAAGACUUCUGUCGGCAUCA